AAGUAAAAAUGUAUUGAGAAAAAAACUGGGAAAUUAGAGGACUCGUUCAGUAGCUUAGGGAAGAAAGAAAAAGGUGUGGAGGAUAUCAACGUAACUCAGGAAGUUCCUGGAACUGAAGGAUGUGAUUUCCGGGCUUCGAAGGAGUGAAGUGCUCAGUCCACUGAAAAGUAAACCAGCUCUGCACUGUCCAGUCCGCCACACUAAGAAGUAAACACCCCAAGCUCCUGGCAAGGAAAAUGGAUCAAAGGCACCAAGUCAUCAGAAAGGAUUCAGACUUCCAACUAACGCAGUGCCAUCAGAUCUCUAAAGGGGAAUUAUUUCGAACCUAGACUCUAUACUCAAAUUAUCAUUGAAAUGUGAAGACAGAAUAAACACACAUUCAGACACACAAGGUCUCAAAAAGACUCCUCCCCAGCUCUUUUCUCAGGAAGCUGCUAGAGGGCAUUCUCCACAAAAAUAAGGGACUAAGCCAAAAAAAAAAAAAAAAGAAAGAAAUAAAGAAAAAUGGGCUACGGAAAAUGGUAAAUUUAACAAAGGAGGA
Molecule: long non-coding RNA, 541 nt
Organism: Pipistrellus kuhlii (Kuhl's pipistrelle)
Lineage: Eukaryota; Metazoa; Chordata; Mammalia; Chiroptera; Vespertilionidae
Exons: 3
Source: RefSeq, a predicted model, not a curated record